CCUACGGGAGGCAGCAGUGAGGAAUAUUGGUCAAUGGCCGUAAGGCUGAACCAGCCAAGUCGCGUGAGGGAAGACUGCCCUAUGGGUCGUAAACCUCUUUUGUGCGGGGACAAAGGUGUCCACGUGUGGACGUUUGCAGGUACCGCAUGAAUAAGGACCGGCUAAUUCCGUGCCAGCAGCCGCGGUAAUACGGAAGGUCCGGGCGUUAUCCGGAUUUAUUGGGUUUAAAGGGAGCGUAGGCCGGUCUUUAAGCGUGCGGUGAAAUUUUGGGGCACAACCAUGGGCGUGCGGCGGGACCUGGAGACCUCGAGUGCGCGGGAGGCAGGCGGAAUUCGUGGUGUAGCGGUGAAAUGCAUAGAUAUCACGAAGAACCCCGAUUGCGAAGGCAGCCUGUCGGCGCGUUACUGACGCUGAGGCACGAAAGCGUGGGUAUCGAACAGGAUUAGAUACCCGGGUAGUC
This 460-nucleotide ribosomal RNA is filed under the name uncultured bacterium. Its description in RNAcentral is "partial 16S ribosomal RNA". It matches the Rfam family "Bacterial small subunit ribosomal RNA", at positions 338 to 795 of the family's 1533-position model. The record is from RNAcentral.